Molecule: non-coding RNA, 195 nt
Filed under: Glycine max (soybean)
Lineage: Eukaryota; Viridiplantae; Streptophyta; Magnoliopsida; Fabales; Fabaceae
Source: RNAcentral
GCCGAGCUGAGUUACGCCAGCUUGUGACCUAAGUGGGGGCACCAGGGUGAUGGAACAGCUCUUUGGCUUUGCUGGGUUGGGCUGUGGCUGUAAUAUGUUGGCCUGUCCGCUCCAAGUUAAGAGCUAGUGUUGAGAGACUUGAUAUAUUGUGGUACAUGGAAGAUACUACUCAUCAUCAGAGGACCUAUCGCCAUG